RNAcentral lists this transfer RNA (72 nucleotides) under Termitomyces sp. T159_Od127. RNAcentral describes it as "tRNA-Thr". It matches the Rfam family "tRNA". Rfam says of the family: Transfer RNA (tRNA) molecules are approximately 80 nucleotides in length. Their secondary structure includes four short double-helical elements and three loops (D, anti-codon, and T loops). Lineage: Eukaryota; Fungi; Basidiomycota; Agaricomycetes; Agaricales; Lyophyllaceae. The record is from RNAcentral.
GUCAAAAUAAUUUAACUGGUAAAACAAAUUCCUUGUAAGAUUUCAACAUUGGUUCAAUUCCAGUUUUCAGCA